RNAcentral lists this ribosomal RNA (429 nucleotides) under uncultured Rhodocyclaceae bacterium. RNAcentral's name for it is "bacterial SSU rRNA". It matches the Rfam family "Bacterial small subunit ribosomal RNA", at positions 355 to 776 of the family's 1533-position model. Lineage: Bacteria; Pseudomonadati; Pseudomonadota; Betaproteobacteria; Rhodocyclales; Rhodocyclaceae. The record is from RNAcentral.
UGGGGAAUUUUGGACAAUGGGGGCAACCCUGAUCCAGCCAUGCCGCGUGAGUGAAGAAGGCCUUCGGGUUGUAAAGCUCUUUCGGCCGGGAAGAAAUCGCGCCUGUGAAUAAUGGGCGUGGAUGACGGUACCGGAAGAAGAAGCACCGGCUAACUACGUGCCAGCAGCCGCGGUAAUACGUAGGGUGCGAGCGUUAAUCGGAAUUACUGGGCGUAAAGCGUGCGCAGGCGGCCUGACAAGACAGCUGUGAAAGCCCCGGGCUUAACCUGGGAACUGCGGUUGUGACUGUCAGGCUAGAGUGUGGCAGAGGGGGGUGGAAUUCCACGUGUAGCAGUGAAAUGCGUAGAGAUGUGGAGGAACACCGAUGGCGAAGGCAGCCCCCUGGGUCGCCACUGACGCUCAUGCACGAAAGCGUGGGGAGCAAACAGG